UCGGAUUGUAGGCUGCAACUCGCCUACAUGAAGCUGGAAUCGCUUGUAAUCGCGGAUCAGCAUGCCGCGGUGAAUACGUUCCCGGGCCUUGUACACACCGCCCGUCACACCACGAGAGUUUGUAACCCCCGAAAUCGGUGGAGUAACCGUAAGGAGCUAUGCCGCCUAAGGUGGGACAGAUGAUUGGGGUGAAGUCGAACA
RNAcentral lists this ribosomal RNA (201 nucleotides) under Priestia megaterium. Its description in RNAcentral is "Bacillus megaterium partial 16S ribosomal RNA". It matches the Rfam family "Bacterial small subunit ribosomal RNA", at positions 1293 to 1493 of the family's 1533-position model. The record is from RNAcentral. Lineage: Bacteria; Bacillati; Bacillota; Bacilli; Caryophanales; Bacillaceae.